GAUGAACGCUGGCGGCGUGCCUAAUACAUGCAAGUCGAGCGAACAGACGAGGAGCUUGCUCCUCUGACGUUAGCGGCGGACGGGUGAGUAACACGUGGAUAACCUACCUAUAAGACUGGGAUAACUUCGGGAAACCGGAGCUAAUACCGGAUAAUAUAUUGAACCGCAUGGUUCAAUAGUGAAAGACGGUUUUGCUGUCACUUAUAGAUGGAUCCGCGCCGCAUUAGCUAGUUGGUAAGGUAACGGCUUACCAAGGCAACGAUGCGUAGCCGACCUGAGAGGGUGGUAGGCCACACUGGAACUGAGACACGGGCCAGACUCCUACGGGAGGGAGCAGUAGGGAAUCGUCCGCAAUGGGCGGAAGCCUGAAGGAGCAACGCCGCGUGAGUGAUGAAGGGCUUCGGAUCGUAAAAAUCUGUUAUUAGGGAAGAACAAAAGUGUAAGUAACUAUGGACGUCUUGACGGUACCUAAUCAGAAAGCCACGGCUAACUACGUGC
Molecule: ribosomal RNA, 498 nt
Filed under: uncultured bacterium
Lineage: Bacteria
Description: partial 16S ribosomal RNA
Rfam family: Bacterial small subunit ribosomal RNA
Source: RNAcentral